RNAcentral lists this ribosomal RNA (338 nucleotides) under Staphylococcus aureus. RNAcentral describes it as "partial 23S ribosomal RNA". It matches the Rfam family "Bacterial large subunit ribosomal RNA", at positions 614 to 951 of the family's 2925-position model. Lineage: Bacteria; Bacillati; Bacillota; Bacilli; Caryophanales; Staphylococcaceae. The record is from RNAcentral.
AAUGAACCGGCGAGUUACGAUUUGAUGCAAGGUUAAGCAGUAAAUGUGGAGCCGUAGCGAAAGCGAGUCUGAAUAGGGCGUUUAGUAUUUGGUCGUAGACCCGAAACCAGGUGAUCUACCCUUGGUCAGGUUGAAGUUCAGGUAACACUGAAUGGAGGACCGAACCGACUUACGUUGAAAAGUGAGCGGAUGAACUGAGGGUAGCGGAGAAAUUCCAAUCGAACCUGGAGAUAGCUGGUUCUCUCCGAAAUAGCUUUAGGGCUAGCCUCAAGUGAUGAUUAUUGGAGGUAGAGCACUGUUUGGACGAGGGGCCCCUCUCGGGUUACCGAAUUCAGACA